This 917-nucleotide long non-coding RNA is filed under the name Pan troglodytes (chimpanzee). Its description in RNAcentral is "long non-coding RNA NONPTRT002556". The record is from RNAcentral. Lineage: Eukaryota; Metazoa; Chordata; Mammalia; Primates; Hominidae.
UGGAGUACAGUUUUCAAUUCUUCAGGGCUCCAGAUUUGGGACUUGGUCAAUUUAUAUGGUAGACAAAGAGCAAUUCUCUCAGCAAAGCUAUUUUUCCCUUGCGUCACUGCAGACUUGUUAAUCUUAGUCCAAGUCACAUAUCUCUUGUAGGGCUUUGCUGAAAAGAGGCAAGAAGCAGCCAACACAUGCUAGCACUCUGAAGUUCUACCACCUUCGUCUCUGUGGCAGGAAGUCUCAACCUCACCUUGACUUCUGUUGGCAAGAAGUCUCACUGCCCAAAGCCCUACCUCCUCAACUAAGCCAACCCCAGAUUUAGGGCCUUCGACUUGCUGCACUUUACUUCUAGCUGCCAAAUUCUGUAUAGGUCAAGAUGCUUGGCUGUAGGCAAUGAAAUCUUCUUUAGCUAUUAAACAGAAGGGAAUUGAUGAAUGAGUAUAUAUAGGUCACAGAAUCAAUGGGAGGGUUGAAGAAACAGAUCUAGGCUGAGCUUCUAGGAAUUAUGUCACAAGAGUAGGCUGCUGAAAGAGCUGCUGCUUUUAGAACAAUCAAGAAGCUGCCUGCUGGAUUAGGAAGCUGCCUGCUGAACAGUUGCCAGUUCCAGAGCCACACCACCUCUGCCAUGCUUUAUGCCAGCAAAAAUAGAUACAUCUCUUCCUGCCUCUGUCCCCACGUUACUUGGCUCUGAGUAAAAGUCUCAAAGAUGCGGUCUCUCUCUGUCAUCCAGGCUGGAGUACAGUGGUGCCAUCAUAACUCACUAUAGUCUCGAACUUCUGGGCUCAAGCAAUCCUCCUGUCUCAGCUUCCUGAAUAGCUGGGACUCCAGGUGUGUGCUUCCAUGCCCGGCUAAUUUUUAAAUUUGUUGUAGAGAUGGGGUCUUGCUAUGUUGCCCAGGCUGGCUUCAAAUUCCUGGCCUCAAGC